RNAcentral lists this ribosomal RNA (473 nucleotides) under uncultured bacterium. Its description in RNAcentral is "SSU rRNA". It matches the Rfam family "Bacterial small subunit ribosomal RNA", at positions 26 to 518 of the family's 1533-position model. The record is from RNAcentral.
AGGACGAACGCUGGCGGCGUGCUUAACACAUGCAAGUCGAGCGGAAAGGCCCUUCGGGGUACUCGAGCGGCGAACGGGUGAGUAACACGUGAGUAACCUGCCCCUAGCUCUGGGAUAGCUCCGGGAAACCGGGAUUAAUACCAGAUACGGCCACUUUAGACAUCUGUCGUGGUGGAAAGGAUUCCGGCUAGGGAUGGGCUCGCGGCCUAUCAGCUUGUUGGUGGGGUAACGGCCUACCAAGGCGACGACGGGUAGCCGGCCUGAGAGGGCGACCGGCCACACUGGGACUGAGACACGGCCCAGACUCCUACGGGAGGCAGCAGUGGGGAAUAUUGCGCAAUGGGCGAAAGCCUGACGCAGCGACGCCGCGUGGGGGAUGAAGGCCUUCGGGUUGUAAACCCUUUCAGCAGGGACGAAGCGAAAGUGACGGUACCUGCAGAAGAAGCGCCGGCUAACUACGUGCCAGCAGCCGC